AAUUUUUGACAAUGGGGGAAAUCCUGAGCCAUCCAUCCCGCGUGUAUGAUGAAGGCCUUCGGGUUGUAAAGUACUUAUGGCUGAGAAGAAAAGGUACCUCCUAAUACGAGGUACUGCUUACGUUAUCUGUAGAAUAAGCGCCGGCUAUCUACGUGCCAGCAGCCGCGGUAAUACGUAUGGUGCAAGCGUUAAGCGGAAUUACUGGGCGUAAAGCGUGUGUAGGAGGUUAGGAGAGAAAGAUGUGAAAUCCCAGGGCUAAACCUUGGAACUGCAUUUUUAACUGCCGAGCUAGAGUAUGUCAGAGGGGGGUAGAAUUCCACGUGUAGCAGUGAAAUGCGUAGAUAUGCGGAGGAAUACCGAUGGCGAAGGCAGCCCCCUGGGAUAAUACUGACGCUCAGACACGAAAGCGUGGGGAGCAAACAG
Molecule: ribosomal RNA, 423 nt
Filed under: uncultured bacterium
Lineage: Bacteria
Description: partial 16S ribosomal RNA
Rfam family: Bacterial small subunit ribosomal RNA
Source: RNAcentral